CCGAAACGCAUCACAAAAUAAUCAAAUUCACUGUUAGCAGUAACUGGAAAGAAUACAAAAGAAAUCACUGUAUGCUUGCGCCCUCUCUCAAAGAAUAUAUCACUUUAGGGAAAGAGUAUUAAAAAAGAACGAGUCAUCACAGCGCCUCGGUAGCGCAGUAGGCAGCGCCGAUACUGCAAUUUGCAAGCAAACAGCCCAUUAAGAGAAGACCACCGACUGUUUUUCUUUUUACAAGAGGAAGAUUUUCUCUGUAUUGUCGUGGACGUUUUCAAUUCUUUUGGAAGAAGAUCGGAUAAAAAUUACAUCGAUGUUCAGUUAUGAUUGAACAGAGAAUAAUGAGAGGACAGAUGAAAAUAGCAUCGUCGUCGUCAUCGUGGAAAAAUCAACAUAGCGUUUCUUCCGGAAGAAAGACGUAGGGAAAGGGACAGUGGAGAUGAGUGGAUACUGCGAAGGAAAUAGAGAAAAGUAAGUAUGUAGAGUACGUGAUUCAAGGAAAAAAGUCUGCAUCGAUGAGAGGGCGGCUUUAUCCGUUCACUGCGGAGCUGUUACGUAUAAAUGCAGAAAUGCGGCCCGGUUCGCGGAGGUUGAGCGAUCGUUGGUGGGAGCGAGCUUGAUUCCGCGUUGAUUCAGACCGUAUUCAGUGCAUCGAGCUCGCGAUGAAAAGGCAUUCCGUUUUCUGAAUAUAUUCCAAUUAAAAAGUCGGAGCUUCGUUGCCCUCACCUCUGCCCGCUCACCUCCUGCCUUUGCCCCAUCCCCCGAAAGAGAUAGGGAAAGAGAGAGAGAGACAGAGAUAGAAAUAAAGUUAGAGAGAGAGAAAGCAAACACCGGCUCAAGCGCCAGCUCGAGCGCCCUUCUUCUUCGUCUACGUCCCGCUAUCCCGUACCACCGACCCCCUUUUACUUCUGCCUUUUGCCUUCCGCCCCUACCGACGACGCGAUCCCUUUUUCCUAUCGCUCGACCAACCAGACAUUUUCUCCCUCUCGCUGUUUCUCCAGCAAUUACUUCUCCGCUUUUUCUUCUUUCCUCUCUUCCACUUUCCUAUCUUUUUUUUCCCCUUUCUAAAGAACUCUUUCUACCAUUUUCUUCGUCAAUCCUUUCUAAUAUAAACCCUGACUCGAUUUCAUCUCUAUAUUUUUAUUAUUUUUAAUUAUUGUUUUACUAUUUAGGAACAUAAAGAUUAUCUAUGGAAUAUAUGAUAUACACAUUCAAGUAUAGAAAAGAUUUCUUCGUCGAUAUUCUUUAUCAAAGAACACGUUUGCUCUUAUCUUUGGAUUAUACUCUACGUAAUUGUCUUUGGCAUGGGAAACGGCGAAUCAAGCUGUUGUUUUUAUCCUCUACACCCGAAGAACAAAUGUAAAUUCGAGGCGUAUGUUUGCGCACGUACGACUAGGAACUCCCAUGAAGUAUUUAACGAUGCCGCAGAACGAAGGCACAUCCUAAGCCUAAGGAGAGGAAAAGACGAUGAGGAAUACGAAGCGCGUGCCCAAGUGCCAACAGGACUUACGCACGUAUGCACGAGCGUCUGCAAGCGCGUAUGCACGCGCGUGUGUACGGAUAUUCGCUGGAGUAUAAUGCGCACGUGGCUGGGCACACGCAACACCACUUGUCUACUUCAACUUUCGAUUCCUUCUAUCCCUUCGUGAAUGAUCCUUGGGUCAACUUUUCGUCCUUGAUCUCUAGACUGCACCACCACUGAACAAAGUUAUGAGAGACGACACCCUGUAACAAAUACAACUUUGCUAUUAAUAUCAUCACUAGCUCAUUAGCAGAAGUUAACUCAUUUGCAUUUUACGAUAGAAUGAAAAAUGUAUCCAUCAAAUUUGUUUUUUCUUCAUCAAUACUAAAUAGAGUACAAUAAUAUUUUAAGGAGUAAUUUGAAUAUUAUUGGCUAUAGGCGUUCUGGUGAUAAUUAUGCAAGAAAAAUUAUGCGCGUAUGUGCGUUAAUGAUGCAAAUUGGUUAAGAUACAAGUAGAAUUCAUUUUUGUUAAAUGAUAUUUAAUGAUAUAUCUUAUAUCUAUACGUGAUACGAAUAUGUAAAACGAGAUAGGAGUAGCUAGUAGAAUCUAAAUUAACGCGAUUAUAUUUAGAAACGGUCUAAUGAAUUUAAAUUUGUUCGUAGAGAUAAAACGUUCUAAUUAUAUCGCUAGCGCGUUUUAAUUAUUUCGUUGGUUUAAUGGUUAACAUUUGAGAGAAAAUGGAAGAAACGAAUGUAGUAAGUAAAGGUCGAAGAACAGUAACCGACUGAAUAGCGAAUGCCGUUGGAUAUCAUUGUGAAUACUGUACCGAAUGAUUAUGUGGAAGUAAUUACGCGUAAGAGAUUACGUAGGAAUAUCGUUGAGAUUUCGUUUCAACUAUGCUGCGGUGAGUCUUA
Molecule: long non-coding RNA, 2371 nt
Filed under: Polistes canadensis
Lineage: Eukaryota; Metazoa; Arthropoda; Insecta; Hymenoptera; Vespidae
Description: uncharacterized LOC106787714
Source: RNAcentral